ACGAACGCUGGCGGCGUGCUUCACACAUGCAAGUCGAACGGAAAGGCCCUGCUUUUGUGGGGUGCUCGAGUGGCGAACGGGUGAGUAACACGUGAGUAACCUGCCCUUGACUUUGGGAUAACUUCAGGAAACUGGGGCUAAUACCGGAUAGGAGCUCCUGCUGCAUGGUGGGGGUUGGAAAGUUUCGGCGGUUGGGGAUGGACUCGCGGCUUAUCAGCUUGUUGGUGGGGUAGUGACUUACCAAGGCUUUGACGGGUAGCCGGCCUGAGAGGGUGACCGGCCACAUUGGGACUGAGAUACGGCCCAGACUCCUACGGGAGGCAGCAGUGGGGAAUAUUGCACAAUGGGCGGAAGCCUGAUGCAGCAACGCCGCGUGCGGGAUGACGGCCUUCGGGUUGUAAACCGCUUUCGCCUGUGACGAAGCGUGGGUGACGGUAAUGGGUAAAGAAGCACCGGCUAACUACGUG
This 467-nucleotide ribosomal RNA is filed under the name uncultured bacterium. Its description in RNAcentral is "partial 16S ribosomal RNA". It matches the Rfam family "Bacterial small subunit ribosomal RNA", at positions 29 to 507 of the family's 1533-position model. The record is from RNAcentral.